RNAcentral lists this non-coding RNA (22 nucleotides) under Mus musculus (house mouse). The record is from RNAcentral. Lineage: Eukaryota; Metazoa; Chordata; Mammalia; Rodentia; Muridae.
UAACUGUGUCUUUUCUGAAUAG